Molecule: ribosomal RNA, 376 nt
Filed under: uncultured eukaryote
Lineage: Eukaryota
Description: partial 18S ribosomal RNA
Rfam family: Eukaryotic small subunit ribosomal RNA
Source: RNAcentral
CAAUAGCGUAUAUUAAAGUUGUUGCAGUUAAAAAGCUCGUAGUUGGAUUUGUGGUUCGUCCCGCCGGCUGGGUCAUUGACUUUUGCUGUGCUGGUCGUCCAUCCUUGGGUGGAAUCUGUGGCAUUAGGUUGUCGCGCAGGGGAUGCCCAUCGUUUACUGUGAAAAAAUUAGAGUGUUCAAAGCAGGCUUAUGCCGUUGAAUAUAUUAGCAUGGAAUAAUGAUAUAGGACCUUGGUACUAUUUUGUUGGUUUGCGCACUGAGGUAAUGAUUAAUAGGGACAGUUGGGGGUAUUCGUAUUCCAUUGUAAGAGGUGAAAUUCUUGGAUUUUUGGAAGACGAACUUCUGCGAAAGCAUUUGCCAAGGAUGUUUUCAUUAA